This 327-nucleotide long non-coding RNA is filed under the name Oryza sativa Indica Group (long-grained rice). RNAcentral describes it as "lncRNA OsMH63_04G022370". The record is from RNAcentral. Lineage: Eukaryota; Viridiplantae; Streptophyta; Magnoliopsida; Poales; Poaceae.
UACGGUCAUCAUCAUCAUCGCCGUCACCGAGUUGCGUUUGUCACCGCAUGCCCAGGACCAACGACCGUCAUCAACCCACCGGGGCCGCGCCACUCGGGUCAGCAACCCGCACUCCUCAACAAGCUCACGCUAGAUGCCCAUGAAGCAGCCAUCCACGUCCCCGAUAUGCCAUUUUUGACCUCCCUGGGCCAUAGUCGUCGUCGCCAAGUAACCGAGGACUACUGCCACCACAACACUCGCUACGUAGCUGUGCAUGAGGAAAGAGGUGACAAUGGGGACACACACAUCGAGGCGAUGACAGGGGUGCACGUCGGCAGUGGUGCCUAG